Molecule: ribosomal RNA, 103 nt
Filed under: Salmonella enterica subsp. enterica serovar Muenchen
Lineage: Bacteria; Pseudomonadati; Pseudomonadota; Gammaproteobacteria; Enterobacterales; Enterobacteriaceae
Also listed under: 9 other names
Description: partial 23S ribosomal RNA
Rfam family: Bacterial large subunit ribosomal RNA
Source: RNAcentral
GGUUAAGCGACUAAGCGUACACGGUGGAUGCCCUGGCAGUCAGAGGCGAUGAAGGACGUGCUAAUCUGCGAUAAGCGCCGGUAAGGUGAUAUGAACCGUUAUA